AAUUUUUGACAAUGGGGGAAACCCUGAUCCAGCCAUCUCGCGUGUAUGAUGAAGGCCUUCGGGUUGUAAAGUACUUUUGGCAGAGAAGAAAAGGCAUCCCCUAUUACGGUAUGCUGCUGACGGUAUUCGCAGAAUAAGCACCGGCUAAGUACGUGCCAGCAGCUGCCGUAAUACGUAGGGUGCAAGCGUUAAUCGGAAUUACUGGGAGUAAAGAUUGUGUAGGCGGUUCGGAAAGAAAGAUGUGGAAUCCCAGGGCUCAACCUUGGAACUGCAUUUUUAACUGCCGAGCUAGAGUAUGUCAGAGGGGGGUAGAAUUCCACGUGUAGCAGUGAAAUGCGUAGAUAUGUGGAGGAAUACCGAUGGCGAAGGCAGCCCCCUGGGAUAAUACUGACGCUCAGACACGAAAGCGUGGGGAGCAAACAGG
This 424-nucleotide ribosomal RNA is filed under the name uncultured bacterium. RNAcentral describes it as "partial 16S ribosomal RNA". It matches the Rfam family "Bacterial small subunit ribosomal RNA", at positions 360 to 776 of the family's 1533-position model. The record is from RNAcentral.